CAGAUUGCCUCACAGAGAAGGUGAUAAUUGAAUUGUUUCAAAGAUGAACAGAAAGGUGUCACAUGAAGAAGGGUGGGAAAGUAUUAUGAGCAGAGGACAUAGCAUAUGUAAAGAAAGGAAAAAAUGAUGCACCGUGGCCCAUUCUGAAAGAACCCCGGCAGUGGGUAGGCCUCUCUCAUGGAACAUGUUGGAACUACUGAUUGGGCACACCGUUCUCGGAGAUUCUUGGACAAAUUCUGUUGUACAGGGUCUGAAAUUCAGCCCAUUCCCACCCAGAAAGCAAGGAGAUAUAAUCAAAGAAUUCAGGACCUGAUCAAACUCCUACCCCACUUUGAAGACAUCAUCCAGUUAUCCUAGUUAUCCAACCACCAGAAGGAAAGAAUAGUGAAAAGACUAAAGCUUCACAGACUUGUAUGGAAGAAAUGUUAACAGCAGAGGGGUGAAAUCUGUAUGGUGAACAUCCGAGUGGGUACAGAAUAAAGUGUCAAGGGCUGGUCUCUUGGUGCAUGGUCUCUUGGUACCCUGAAACUUCUGUCUCGCUGCUAUUAAAGUGACUCCUGAUUUGAG
Molecule: long non-coding RNA, 567 nt
Filed under: Pan troglodytes (chimpanzee)
Lineage: Eukaryota; Metazoa; Chordata; Mammalia; Primates; Hominidae
Description: long non-coding RNA NONPTRT003947
Source: RNAcentral